GUUCUUGUAGCUUACACAAAGCGUGGCACUGAAGAUGCCAAGACGGGUGCUACCAAGCCCCCACGG
Molecule: transfer RNA, 66 nt
Filed under: Geobiastes squamiger
Lineage: Eukaryota; Metazoa; Chordata; Aves; Coraciiformes; Brachypteraciidae
Description: tRNA-Phe
Source: RNAcentral